Alosa sapidissima (American shad) is the source of this 331-nucleotide long non-coding RNA. RefSeq lists it as uncharacterized. The transcript is spliced from 2 exons. The record is from RefSeq and is a predicted model, not a curated record. NCBI's taxonomy places the organism in Eukaryota, Metazoa, Chordata, Actinopteri, Clupeiformes, Clupeidae.
UAAUCACACUUAACAGCUGUUUCUCACAUGUCUGAACAAUGUUCUCUCUUUUCUCUUAUUUUUCUCCACUGUACUGAAUGAAUGAAUGAAUGAAUGAAUGAAUGAACCAGUGAUGGUGGAAAUGGGGCCUUCUGCAUCUCUGGUCCUGUUUCUGCUUAUUCCUUGUCUCACUAUAACCCCAGGUGUUUCUGGUCAGUUGACGUGGGUGACUAUGACUCAUAACAGUAUCUGUGCUGUGACUGGAUCAUCAGUGGAGAUGCCCUGCUCUUUCACUCAUCAGCAUAAACCUGAUCUCAUAGUCAAUAAAGUCUACUGGGGGAUUAAUGCCAAA